AGUUUUGUUUCCGUAGUGCCUGGGGGCGGGGAACGCGGGGUUGCGGAUUACUUGGCCGCUUCCUACGAAGACUAGAGAGGGUCAAACAUAACUGAACGCAGUUGUGACAACCUGUUUUUCCUAUUGAGGUGGCGUAAAUAUACCCCAUCUCCUGUACCAGGACGAGGAAAGUGACCAUUGUCUAGAAAUGGAAGGCUGGCAUUAAGAGGGAGAGAAACAAAGUGUUUGCACUCAUGCUCAUGCAAGGGAGUGGUGAGAGGCAGAGAGAGAGAGGGAGAGAGAAUGAUGUGGGGCUCAGUCUCAUGAACUGUAAGAUCAUGACCUCAGCUGAAAUCAAGAGUCUGAUGCUCAACCUACUGAGCUACCUAAGCGCCCCAGGUGAGCCCUUAUUCUAAUAUAAUGGGUAUUCUUAUAAUAUGCUGGCCAUAUAAAGACAGAGGCACAGGGAGAAGGCUAUGUGACCAUGAAGGCAGAGAUUGGAGUUAUGCAGCUGCAAACCAAGAAAAGCUGAAGAUUUUCAGGAAACCGCUGGAAGAUAGGAAGACACAAGGAAGGAUUCUCUGUACAGGUUUCAAAGGAAUCCUGUAACACCCAGAUUUUAGAAUUUUCGCCACCUGAAAUAUGAGACAAUAAAUUUGUUAUUUUAAGUCA
This is a long non-coding RNA of Herpailurus yagouaroundi (jaguarundi), 651 nucleotides long. RefSeq lists it as uncharacterized. The transcript has 3 exons. NCBI's taxonomy places the organism in Eukaryota, Metazoa, Chordata, Mammalia, Carnivora, Felidae. The record is from RefSeq and is a predicted model, not a curated record.